AUAAAUAUUUCAAAGAAAAUCUAUAACUCACAUUUUUUUAUAAAACUAUUUAAUAUAAAGACUUUUAGAAGGUUUUUUUUGUCCUUAAUAUAAAAAAAAAAAGAUAGUUUUUAAUGUGUAAAUAUUAUUUAAAUGUCAUUUUUACUCUUAAUAAUUAUGUUUUCCAUGUUAUAGGGAUAUGAAUAGUUCUCUGAAAAGUGGAGAGAUGAUAGGCUCAGAAAGUGGAGAUGAGAUGUUUUUAAAGAGGCACAUACAUUCAUACUAUCUAAAGAAAGACAACAUAAAAGGAAAAAAUUAGAGGAUGAUUGAGUAGAAGAAAAGCUAUACAUCUGCUAGGUUGUUCAUAAUAUGGAUUUGACUACAAACUAAUUUCAUUUUUUUUUUAUUUUUAUGAAUGUUUUUGGUUAUCCGACAUUUAAAAACCGGUUAUUAAUCAAUAUAUGUAACACAUUAAAUAUUUGUUUUACAUCAACUUCUAUUUAAAAACAACCUAAAAAACAAUAUCUAAAACCAAUACUAAAUAUGUUUAGACUAUGAACAAGUGCUAACCCCAUUUGUUAGCAUUUUCAAUACUAAAUAUGUUUCCAAUUGGAAUAACUUUUACUUUUUAAAUUUUUUCAAAUAUUUUGUUCAAAUUUAUUCAAAUGGUCAAGCGAAAUGAGAUUUUAAAUAAAUUCAAUAGAUAAAUGAUAAUACACAAGGGUUGUGUGAGCUUCCAUUGCCUAUAGAAAAAUCGAAAGCGAUUUCUAUAAUGUGAAUGUGUGCCUACGAUAAACCAUCAUGAUUUCUACAACUAAAUGAAAAUAUUUUCCAUGUAACCCAAGUAAUUACUUUUUUUUUUUUUUUUUUUGAAACUAUUCUUUAUUCCUUAAUAAGAGAGACUUUUUAUAAGAUUUUCCUGUUUGUGAUAUAAAAAAAGUCAUGCUUUUAAUAUGUAAAUAUUAUUUAAAUGUCUUUAUUAGUCUUAAUUAUUAUUAUCUGUCCCAUGCAAUCAUGAUAUGAAUAGUCACUACUAGAAAAACUGGAUUUAGCGUUGACCAAAAGCCUAAUAAUAUUUUUCUAUAAUCUUUAAUUUAUUCAAACAAUAAUACUCUCAGUGUUGUGUGACCUUUCAUUACCAUAUAGAAAAUUAAAGACAAUUUCUAUAACGUGAAUUAGUGCAUAAGACCCGUCUGCCUCUUAAUUGUGUGUAGUUAACCAUCAUCUCAUAAAUAUUUCAAAGAAAAUCUAUAACUCACAUUUUUUUAUAAAACUAUUUAAUAUAAAGACUUUUAGAAAGUUUUUUUUGUUCUUAAUAUAAAGAAAAUAGUUUUUAAUGUGUAAAUAUUAUUUAAAUGUCAUUUUUACUCUUAAUUAUAACUGUGUAAAACUUUUAUAAAAAAAAAAUACUUUUGCCUAAACAAUGCCAAAACCUUUCAUCUUCUCAAUUAAUCUUCUUUUACCCAAACAAUUAAGCUCAACCUUUAACUUUCUUCAUUAUCUUUUUUUUUUCUUCGAAUUCUUGUGUGACCUUUCAUUACCAUAUAGAAAAUUAAAGACAAUUUCUAUAACGUGAAUUAGUGCAUAAGACCCGUCUGCCUCUUAAUUGUGUUUAGUUAACCAUCAUCUCAUAAAUAUUUCAAUGAAAAUCUAUAACUCACAUUUUUUUUAAAAACUAUUUAAUAUAAAGACUUUUAGAAGGUUUUUUUUGUCCUUAAUAUAAAAAAAAGGAUAGUUUUUAAUGUGUAAAUAUUAUUUAAAUGUCAUUUUUACUCUUAAUAAUUAUGUUUUCCAUGUUAUGGGGAUAUGAAGAGUUCUCUGAAAAGUGGAGAGAUGAUAGGCUCAGAAAGUGGAGAUGAGAUGCUUUUAAAGAGGCACAUACAUCCAUACUAUCUAAAGAAAGACAACAUAAAAGGAAAAAA
This 1901-nucleotide long non-coding RNA is filed under the name Cicer arietinum (chickpea). Its description in RNAcentral is "long non-coding RNA (CARI_LNC002988)". The record is from RNAcentral. Lineage: Eukaryota; Viridiplantae; Streptophyta; Magnoliopsida; Fabales; Fabaceae.